UGGUUCAAUUGUCUAUUUUGUUUCGAUUCACCCUUUUUACUAGCAAGCGUCCAAAAACUUAUUACUCCAGUUAAUUAAAGUGCUUCAAUAAAAACUUGGUAAUCGCGUAUUAUUGUUACAAACUCUUCUUGGUUAUCGAGUAUGUAUGUUUCAAGCUGUUAUUUAUACUUAAAGUCAAUACAGCUGGUGUUGCUGUUUUCUUGUUAUACAAAUCUUGGGAAAAAGUUAUUAAAGAACGUAGCAAGAUAUGGCAGAUGUAAAUUUAUUGGCAUCAUAGUUUAUUAUUACACAUAUAUCUAAUAGUAGUGUAUGACUGUUGGUUCAAGUGGACGGUAACUUGUUACAGCAUGUGUACGUGAACGUCAAAUUAAAAUCUACCUCAUAUAUCAAGUAUAAAGAAUUUUAAAUGAAAUAGUUGCGGAGACAUAUUUUUUUGUUUCUUCAUUUGUAUGAUAAUGUAUGUAUGCGAACUUAAAACAUAUUGUACGAAAGAGGCGGAGUCAGGCAGUAUAAAAGCAUGAUCAUUUAUUACAGUGAAACGUAGUACGCGGAAAUAUAAAUUCUUGAGUGUAAAUAAGAUUAAAGAAUUUUUGUUGAUAAUUAGUAUCGAUAUGAAAUUCAUACUUUACGUGGUGUUUUUCUUUAUCCUUGCGUCGGCAGUGUUUACCGUGGAGGGUAAAAGGAAGCGAAACUGUGUCGCAGAUUUUUCGUGCGGCUUCCGAUUUACUCUUAGUCCAAUACUGCCAUCAGCUGGUCGACCUUGGUUGGACGAACUGCCUCGAGCAAUUAAAAGAAAACUUUAGUCUCCUGGUUUAUCAGAUCGCUCAUUCGGAAAAACAUUAUUACUGUAGUUUUGGUUCUUGAAAAAUUUUAUGAUUCGAGUUCUCAACAAUAUAUUUUUUAACUUCAUUCUCCUUAAUUAAUGUUAUGAAUCAAUCGAAUUUCAAUAA
Molecule: long non-coding RNA, 950 nt
Organism: Phymastichus coffea
Lineage: Eukaryota; Metazoa; Arthropoda; Insecta; Hymenoptera; Eulophidae
Exons: 3
Source: RefSeq, a predicted model, not a curated record